RNAcentral lists this ribosomal RNA (373 nucleotides) under uncultured organism. RNAcentral's name for it is "partial 16S ribosomal RNA". It matches the Rfam family "Bacterial small subunit ribosomal RNA", at positions 527 to 896 of the family's 1533-position model. The record is from RNAcentral.
GUAGGUGGCAAGCGUUGUCCGGAAUUAUUGGGCGUAAAGCGCGCGCAGGCGGUUCUUUAAGUCUGAUGUGAAAGCCCACGGCUCAACCGUGGAGGGUCAUUGGAAACUGGAGAACUUGAGUACAGAAGAGGAAAGCGGAAUUCCACGUGUAGCGGUGAAAUGCGUAGAGAUGUGGAGGAACACCAGUGGCGAAGGCGGCUUUCUGGUCUGUAACUGACGCUGAGGCGCGAAAGCGUGGGGAGCAAACAGGAUUAGAUACCCUGGUAGUCCACGCCGUAAACGAUGAGUGCUAAGUGUUAGGGGGUUUCCGCCCCCCUUAGUGCUGCAGCUAACGCAUUAAGCACCCCCGCCUGGGGAUACGGCCGCAAGGCUG